GAUCCUGGCUCAGGAUGAACGCUGGCGGCGUGCUUAACACAUGCAAGUCGAGCGAAGCACUUAAGUUUGAUUCUUCGGAUGAAGACUUUUGUGACUGAGCGGCGGACGGGUGAGUAACGCAUGGGUAACCUGCCUCAUACAGGGGGAUAACAGUUAGAAAUGACUGCUAAUACCGCAUAAGACCACGGUACCGCAUGGUACAGUUGUAAAAACUCCGGUGGUAUGAGAUGGACCCGCGU
This 239-nucleotide ribosomal RNA is filed under the name uncultured bacterium. RNAcentral describes it as "partial 16S ribosomal RNA". It matches the Rfam family "Bacterial small subunit ribosomal RNA", at positions 15 to 236 of the family's 1533-position model. The record is from RNAcentral.